AAGGGUAUGCGUAGUAGCGGCGAGCGAGCGGGAGAGCUCAAAUUUAUAAUCUGGCACCUUCGGUGUCCGAGUUGUAAUCUCUACAAAUGUUUUCCGCGUUGGACCGCACACAAGUCUGUUGGAAUACAGCGGCAUAGUGGUGAGACCCCCGUAUAUGGUGCGGACGCCCACCGCUUUGUGAUACAUUUUCGAAGAGUCAAGUUGUUUGGGAAUGCAGCUCAAAUUGGGUGGUAAAUUCCAUCUAAAGCUAAAUAUUGGCGAGAGACCGAUAGCGAACAAGUACCGUGAGGGAAAGAUGAAAAGCACUUUGGAAAGAGAGUUAACAGUACGUGAAAUUGUUGGAAGGGAAACGCUUGAAGUCAGACUUGCUUGCCGAGCAAUCGGUUUGCAGGCCAGCAUCAGUUUUCCGGGAUGGAUAAUGGUAGAGAGAAGGUAGCAGUUUCGGCUGUGUUAUACCUCUCUGCUGGAUACAUCUUGGGGGACUGAGGAACGCAGUGUGCCUUUGGCGGGGGUUUCGACCUCUUCACCCUUAGGAUGCUGGUGGAAUGGCUUUAAACGACCCGUCUUGACCC
This 572-nucleotide ribosomal RNA is filed under the name Rhodotorula mucilaginosa. Its description in RNAcentral is "eukaryotic LSU rRNA". It matches the Rfam family "Eukaryotic large subunit ribosomal RNA", at positions 70 to 660 of the family's 3401-position model. Lineage: Eukaryota; Fungi; Basidiomycota; Microbotryomycetes; Sporidiobolales; Sporidiobolaceae. The record is from RNAcentral.